AAGUCCAGACGAAGUUUGGAGUAGAGUCGUUCGUGGCCGGAAGAAGUCUGGAAGAAAUUUGAAGAAUAGUCGAUCACCAUAGAAAAUUAGCUGAUAGCGGAGUUCAGAGGGCGUUUGGAGUAGUCCGAUAGAUGAAUGAGGAAGCUUGUUGUCGGAGAAGUUCGGAUGGUAUUAUGGAAGCUCGGACGGUCGAGGAAGUUCAGAAAGAUGCCACACAAGGUCGGAAGCCGGAAAAUCCCUGGAAGGGUCGGCCUUUUACAAACUUCGGCUGGGGGUAUUUUAUACCCAACACUAGUCUUCCUACUUUCGAGUUCGGGUUUCG
RNAcentral lists this long non-coding RNA (322 nucleotides) under Elaeis guineensis (African oil palm). RNAcentral describes it as "long non-coding RNA (EGUI_LNC075558)". The record is from RNAcentral. Lineage: Eukaryota; Viridiplantae; Streptophyta; Magnoliopsida; Arecales; Arecaceae.